This is a small nucleolar RNA of Tachyglossus aculeatus (Australian echidna), 139 nucleotides long. The record is from RefSeq and is a predicted model, not a curated record. NCBI's taxonomy places the organism in Eukaryota, Metazoa, Chordata, Mammalia, Monotremata, Tachyglossidae.
CCCCUCUCAGGAUGGCACCUGGAGAGUUUCCAGUACUCUAUCAGUCUCGGCUCUGGGAGGGAGAGUCGAGCAGGGGUUUAUCCAUUCCAUUCCUAGCUUAGCCAGUGGCUUAGCGAGUGGAAGGCAAUCUGCUACAAGU